RNAcentral lists this ribosomal RNA (406 nucleotides) under uncultured bacterium. RNAcentral's name for it is "partial 16S ribosomal RNA". It matches the Rfam family "Bacterial small subunit ribosomal RNA", at positions 30 to 526 of the family's 1533-position model. The record is from RNAcentral.
AUUGAACGCUGGCGGCAGGCUUAACACAUGCAAGUCGAGCGAGCGGCGGACGGGUGAGUAAUGUCUUGGACACUGCCUGAGGGAUGGGGUUCACUACUGGAAGCUGUAGCUAAUACCGCAUACCAUCAGAUGUGCCCAGAUGGGAUUAGCUAGUAGGUGGGGUAAUGGCUCACCUAGGCGACGAUCCCUAGCUGGUCUGAGAGGAUGAACAGCCACACUGGAACUGAGACACGGCCCAGACUCCUACGGGAGGCAGCAGUGGGGAAUAUUGCGCAAUGGGGGAAACCCUGACGCAGCCAUGCCGCGUGAAUGAAGAAGGCCUUCGGGUUGUAAAGUUCUUUCGGUAGCGAGGCGUUAACUACAGAAGAAGCACCGGCUAACUCCGUGCCAGCAGCCGCGGUAAUUC